Long non-coding RNA from Anolis sagrei ordinatus, 472 nucleotides. RefSeq lists it as uncharacterized. The record is from RefSeq and is a predicted model, not a curated record. NCBI's taxonomy places the organism in Eukaryota, Metazoa, Chordata, Lepidosauria, Squamata, Anolidae.
UCCCUCCCUCCUUCCUUUAUGCAAUCCAGUUUACACAAGGAAGACACAGCAACACUCCUGGGAAGCUCUCUCUCUUGAAAACCAUGGUGUGACUCAUAAUUGGUGUCUGCCGCUAUGUGGCCAGGAAAAUAGCGGCAUCGCUGCGGAAUGAGGAACUGAGGGAGCCGGUGCUGAUGUGCAAUAACCAGGUCUGCCAAGUCGGCAACCCAAAAAAGACAGCAAUGCAGCCUCCCACCACUUGCUCAGUAGCUCAGGGCUGCUCCACUUCUGUUGUCCCAUCCGAUGUUGGUACCCAGAAGCCUCAUUCCUAAUGGAACUGAAUAAGGGACGGCGAAGAGGGAAAUGACGGCUCAUUGGACCACUCCUGCCCCUGCAGGAAUCGAAUGGGCCCGAGAAGCCUUUAGCCUCUCUUAACCUCACUGUUUCAGCACAAACACCAUUUAAAUAAAGAACGUCUCUGAGUUCAAAGUCA